Molecule: ribosomal RNA, 373 nt
Filed under: uncultured bacterium
Lineage: Bacteria
Description: bacterial SSU rRNA
Rfam family: Bacterial small subunit ribosomal RNA
Source: RNAcentral
ACGUAGGUGGCAAGCGUUGUCCGGAAUUAUUGGGCGUAAAGGGCGCGCAGGCGGUGCGGUAAGUCCAUGGUGAAAGCGCCCGGCUCAACUGGGCGAGGGCCGUGGAGACUGGCGCGCUGGAGGCAAGCAGAGGCGAGUGGAAUUCCGGGUGUAGUGGUGAAAUGCGUAGAGAUCCGGAGGAACACCAGUGGCGAAGGCGGCUCGCUGGGCUUGGCCUGACGCUGAGGCGCGAAAGCGUGGGGAGCGAACCGGAUUAGAUACCCGGGUAGUCCACGCUGUAAACGAUGGACACUAGGUGUGGGGGGUAUCGACCCCCUCCGUGCCGACGCUAACGCAGUAAGUGUCCCGCCUGGGGAGUACGGCCGCAAGGCUA